This 3576-nucleotide small RNA is filed under the name Pongo abelii (Sumatran orangutan). RNAcentral describes it as "processed transcript". The record is from RNAcentral. Lineage: Eukaryota; Metazoa; Chordata; Mammalia; Primates; Hominidae.
GAAACUUCAUGGAGAAGUACUGCUGGCUCUUGGACUUUUCUUCCAGAAGUGGCACAUUUCACUUUUCAUAUUUUAAUUGCGGAAAGAAAUCACAUGGCCACACUUGUCUUUGUUUGUUUGUUUGUUUGUUUGUUUGAGACAGCGUCUCACUGUAUCACCAAGGCCUGGAGUGCAGUGGCAUGAUCAUGGCUCACUGCAGCCUCCACCUCAGCUCCACCAAGUAGCUGGAACUACAGGUGCACAUCACCACGCCCAGCUAAUUUUUUUGAUUUUUGAUAGAGACAAAGUCUCACUAUGUUAUAACCCAGGCUGGUUUCAAACUUCUGAGCUUGGCGAUCCUCCCAUCUCAGCCUCCCAAAGUGCUGGGAUUACAGGCAUGAGCCACUGUGCCCGACCGCAAGAUUUAUAUUUCUGUAUGCAAAUUAUAUUUAGAGUUUUUAAAAAACGCCUAGCUAUAAUCGUGGAUCAAAAUAUUUUAAGAAAUAACAGAGCUGUGCACAGUGGCACAUGCCUGUAGCCAGGAGUUCAAGUCCAGCCUGGGCAACAUAAAACCUUGUCUCUUAAGAAAAGAAUUAAUAGGAAAACUUGAAAUUCUAUGCAUUUAAAAAUUAUUAAAUGAAAAUAACAAAAGAUUAUUGUAAGCCACUCCAGGACUGGGAUAUAAGGACCUUAGAAAAUGCUGUGGUAAAUUCUGCCCCCAUUGUUUUAUUUUAAUAAUAGGGGAAAAUGGGGGUAUACCAGCUUUGUAAGGUAACUUUGUUAUGACAGAUUUGUACUAGGACUGACUGUCAAAAUUUUAAACUUUAUAAUUUUCCCAGCUUAUAUACAGAUCUGUUUAUAAUAGAAUUUUUAAGUACUUGGAAGGAAAGAAAUUACAAAUAGAACCUUUGUAUUUAUGUUUGGAGGGUUUUUUUUCUUAUUAACCAUUAUAGCCAGAAUAUAUAAACUACACGUAUUUUAGCACACUAAUGAACUGUUUGAGAGUUAACCGUUUUUCACUUUAUCUUUAGGCUUGUGUAGUAAAACGUGAAUUUAAGAAGGCAGAACAGUUAAUUAAACAUGCAGUGUAUUUGGCACGGUAGGUGAUUAAUAUUAAAAAUAUCCUUUUAAAUUGUCUCUAUACUUUAUAUCCUAAUAAUUUUGUGUCUUUUUAUAGGGAUCAUUUUGGAUCCAAACACCCAAAAUAUUCUGAUACACUGCUAGAUUAUGGAUUCUACUUACUCAAUGUAGAUAAUAUCUGUCAGUCUGUUGCAAUUUAUCAGGUAUGUUAAUGGUUACUCUUUUUUUCUUUCAACCUAUAUUGACUUGCUGACCUGUAUUUGUUUGUGGUGUAUAAACCACUCUCUAAAAAUGACUUUUUGACAACUACCCCGCCCACCAAUAUAGGUUGCAUCAUUAUUUUAUUAAGUAUUACCUAGAAGGUGUAAAAGUUAAUGCUUUGGGAAUUAAAGAGAAUCAUUCAGGAAAGGAAUUGUUGGGUUGUGAGCUCAUAUUUGGGAGUGGUUUUCCGUUUUUUAUUUACCCAUGUAAUGGCUUAUCUUUGUUGUUGAUUUAGCAAAUGUCACUAAAGCUGCCUUUGUAGUAACAAAGAUGGCUGAUAAUUAUUUUAGGCCUUUCUUACUCAUUCUCAGGUAAAUGAUGUAUUAUGCCAUUGCUGUAGACAAGGCAUACUUGACUUUAAGGUUCACUUUUUUUUUUUUUUUUGAGACAGAGUUUUGAUCUGUCGCCCAGGCUGGAGUGCAAUGGUGCAAUCUCAGCUCACUGCAACCUCCGCCUCCCAAGUUCAAGCAAUUCUCGUGCCUCGGCCUCCUGAGUAUCUGGGAUUACAGGCCCAUGCCACAAUGCCUGGCUAAUUUUGUAUUUUUAGUAGAGAGGUGGUUUCACCAUGUUGCCCAGGCUAGUCUUGAACUACUGACCUCAGGUGAUCCACCCACCUUGGCCUCCCAAAAGUACUAGGAUUACAGGUGUGAGCCACAGCGCCUGGCCUAAGGUUCACUUUUGAAGAAGGAAACAGAGAAAAACAUUCCCAAUGUCUUGAUUCUCAAGACAUAGGAAUUAUUAUUAUUAUUAUUAUUAUUAUUAAGCCGUGGCCUUUUAAGUCAAACUCUAUCUUCAGAAAUUUAGGACUUCUAGGUGACUUUCAUGUUCUGUAAUUUAAAUACAGCAGGACUUUCUGGGCUUCAAAAUUUUAUGGUGUUAGGCAUAUAGAUAUAUAUUUAAAUUACUAGGAUGUUUAAUUUAACUAGAUGGUAUUUUCUACAGUAUUGACAAAUAUUUUUAUGAUUCUUUCAGGCAGCCCUUGACAUUAGACAGUCAGUGUUUGGUGGCAAAAAUAUCCACGUAGCAACAGCUCAUGAAGAUUUGGCCUACUCUUCUUAUGUCCACCAGUAUAGCUCUGGGAAAUUUGACAAUGCACUGUAAGUUCCGCAUUCCUUUUCUCUGAAGGAGGAAAUACUGUUUUUGUUUUAUUUUGUUUUUUCCCAUUAGGGAACUAUUAUUACAUUAAUAAUAGUACUUGAUAUACUUUAUAGAUUGAAUUUGUCUUCCUGGAGCUUUAACAGAAUGCCUAAAAUGUUCUUGAAGUCAUUUAAAAUCAUACCAGUUUUCGGGUGCAGAGGCACUUGCCUGUAAUCCCAGCACUUUGGGAGGCUGAGGUGGAAAGAUUGCUUGAGCCCAAGAGUUUGAGACCCUGUCUACUCAAAAAAUUUUUAAAAUUAGCUGGACAUUUUGGUGCAUGCCUGUGAUCCCAGCUUCUCUGGAGGCUGAGGCAGGAGAAUCGCUUGAACCCAAGAGGUUAAGGAUGCAGUGAGGCAUAUUCACACCACUGCAUUCCAGCCUGGGCAACAGAGUGAGACCCUGUUUCCAAAAAUAAAUAAAUAAAAUCAUACUAAUUUAUAGGUUAUUCAUUUAGCCUUUAUAUGAUUUAAUAUUGAGACUUGUAUGUUUUCAUGUAGAAUAUAACUUAUCUUUUGAGUAUUUCCUUCAAUAAUUUUUGAGUAAUACAGUAGCAAACUUAAUAACCUAAAAACUUCUUGGUGAGAACACAUAGAAAUACUGAAUAACAAUUGUCUUUUUAAAUAUAUAACUGAGCUUGCAAGAGCGAGGGGGAAAUCCCCCAAGGGCCAAUAAUGGACACUAAAAUUUAAAGGAUUAAGUAUGGCUUGUGGUAUAACUGCUCUGGGGUGAUGGGAAAGUUUAGAGAUUUCUGUAACCUUGGUUUAAGAAACAGCCUAUAGGAGGCUGGGAGUUAGAACUCAAACCCUCACAUGAAGCAAAGUCAAGACUACAACCCGGCCGGGCGUGGUGGCUCACGCCUGUAAUCUCAGCACUUUGGGAGGCCAAGGCGGGUGGAUCACCUGAGGUCAGGAGUUCAAGACAAGCCUGGCCAAGAUGGUGAAAUGCUGUCUCUACUAAAAAUACAAAAAUUAGCCGGGCAUGGUGGUGGGCACUUGUAAUCCCAGCUACUUGGGAGGCUGAGGCAGACAAUUGCUUGAACCCAGGAGGUGGAGGUUGCAGUGAGCCGAGAUCGCGCCACUGCUCUCCAGCCUAGGAACAGAGUGAGACUCUGUCUCCAAA